GUAACACGUGGCCAAACUACCCUUCGGAACACAAUACCCUCGGGAAACUGAGGCUAAUAGUGUAUAUCGUACCACCACUGGAAUGAGUGGUACGCCAAACGCUCCGGCGCCGAAGGAUGUGGCUGCGGCCGAUUAGGUAGACGGUGGGGUAACGGCCCACCGUGCCAAUAAUCGGUAUGGGUCAUGAGAGUGAGAACCCAGAGACGGAAUCUGAGACAAGAUUCCGGGCCCUACGGGGCGCAGCAGGCGCGAAACCUUUACACUGCACGACAGUGCGAUAGGGGGAUCCCAAGUGCACAGGCAUAGCGCCUGUGCUUUUCGGCACCCUAAGGCGGUGCCAGAAUAAGGGCUGGGCAAGACCGGUGCCAGCCGCCGCGGUAAUACCGGCAGCCCAAGUGAUGGCCGAUCUUAUUGGGCCUAAAGCGUCCGUAGCUGGCCGCGCAAGUCCAUCGGGAAAUCCACCUGCUCAACAGGUGGGCGCCCGGUAGAAACUGCGUGGCUUGGGACCGGAAGGCGCGACGGGUACGUCCGGGGUAGGAGUGAAAUCCCGUAAUCCUGGACGGACCGCCGAUGGCGAAAGCACGUCGCGAGAACGGAUCCGACAGUGAGGGACGAAAGCCAGGGUCUCGAACCGGAUUAGAUACCCGGGUAGUCCUGGCCGUAAACAAUGUCUGCUAGGUGUGGCUCCCACUACGAGUGGGUGCUGUGCCGUAGGGAAGCCGCUAAGCAGACCGCCUGGGAAGUACGUCCGCAAGGAUGAAACUUAAAGGAAUUGGCGGGGGAGCACUACAACCGGAGGAGCCUGCGGUUUAAUUGGACUCAACGCCGGACAUCUCACCAGCAUCGACUGUGAUAAUGACGAUCAGGUUGAUGACCUUAUCCGAGUUUCAGAGAGGAGGUGCAUGGCCGCCGUCAGCUCGUACCGUGAGGCGUCCUGUUAAGUCAGGCAACGAGCGAGACCCGCACCCUUACUUGCCAGCAGUACCGCGAGGUAGCUGGGGACAGUAGGGGGACCGCCGUGGCUAACACGGAGGAAGGAACGGGCAACGGUAGGUCAGUAUGCCCCGAAUGUGCUGGGCAACACGCGGGCUACAAUGGUCGAGACAAAGGGUUCCUACUCCGAAAGGAGACGGUAAUCUCAGAAACUCGAUCGUAGUUCGGAUUGUGGGCUGCAACUCGCCCACAUGAAGCUGGAUUCGGUAGUAAUCGCGUGUCACAAGCGCGCGGUGAAUACGUCCCUGCUCCUUGCACACACCGCCCAGA
This 1263-nucleotide ribosomal RNA is filed under the name Halorubrum sp. MG526. RNAcentral's name for it is "bacterial SSU rRNA". It matches the Rfam family "Archaeal small subunit ribosomal RNA", at positions 93 to 1354 of the family's 1478-position model. The record is from RNAcentral. Lineage: Archaea; Methanobacteriati; Methanobacteriota; Halobacteria; Halobacteriales; Haloferacaceae.